UAAAUAUUUGAUCUUAUCGGUGCUUGCAGGCUUAAAAGGGAAGACGGUGCGAAUCCGUCGCGGUCCCGCCGCUGUAACCGGAAACGAAACCCGCUCAAAGGGCCACUGCCUCAUGAUCAAAUGGGGUGGGAAGGCGCGGGGAGUAGGACGACCCGGGAGUCAGAAGACCUGCCGAUGAGAAAGCUUGAGC
RNAcentral lists this non-coding RNA (190 nucleotides) under Desulfocarbo indianensis. The record is from RNAcentral. Lineage: Bacteria; Pseudomonadati; Thermodesulfobacteriota; Desulfarculia; Desulfarculales; Desulfarculaceae.